CAGCAGCCGCGGUAAUACGAGGGGUGCAAGCGUUAAUCGGAAUUACUGGGCGUAAAGCGUGCGUAGGCGGUGAGUUAAGUCUGCUGUGAAAUCCCCGGGCUCAACCUGGGAAUGGCAGUGGAUACUGGCUCGCUAGAGUGUGUCAGAGGAUGGUGGAAUUCCCGGUGUAGCGGUGAAAUGCGUAGAGAUCGGGAGGAACAUCAGUGGCGAAGGCGGCCAUCUGGGACAACACUGACGCUGAGGCACGAAAGCGUGGGGAGCAAACAGGAUUAGAUACCCCCGUAGUCCCUGUCUCUUAUAA
RNAcentral lists this ribosomal RNA (301 nucleotides) under uncultured bacterium. RNAcentral's name for it is "partial 16S ribosomal RNA". It matches the Rfam family "Bacterial small subunit ribosomal RNA", at positions 509 to 809 of the family's 1533-position model. The record is from RNAcentral.